This is a long non-coding RNA of Cataglyphis hispanica, 240 nucleotides long. RefSeq lists it as uncharacterized. The record is from RefSeq and is a predicted model, not a curated record. The transcript has 2 exons. Lineage: Eukaryota; Metazoa; Arthropoda; Insecta; Hymenoptera; Formicidae.
GGAACGUGUCGGCGGGUAAUUCGGUAAAUGCCGCGAUGGUAAAUGUCAUAAAGACAUCGAGUCCGAGAUUGUUUACGUUUCUAACGUGACCGUCGAAUACCAGCGAUAUCGCCAUCCUGCGUUAUAAAAUAUAUUAGAGAUUGAAGAAAUAUUUCCAUCGAUAAUACUCACCAGAUGAGAAUGAGGAGGAUCGUAAUGUUUCGCAAGCGUGGACUCUUAAAUAAAUCCACCACAGAAUAA